AUUGAACGCUGGCGGCAUGCCUUACACAUGCAAGUCGAACGGUAACAGGUCUUCGGAUGCUGACGAGUGGCGAACGGGUGAGUAAUACAUCGGAACGUGCCCGAUCGUGGGGGAUAACGAGGCGAAAGCUUUGCUAAUACCGCAUACGAUCUACGGAUGAAAGCGGGGGAUCUUCGGACCUCGCGCGGACGGAGCGGCCGAUGGCAGAUUAGGUAGUUGGUGGGAUAAAAGCUUACCAAGCCGACGAUCUGGAGCUGGUCUGAGAGGAUGAUCAGCCACACUGGGACUGAGACACGGCCCAGACUCCUACGGGAGGCAGCAGUGGGGAAUUUUGGACAAUGGGCGAAAGCCUGAUCCAGCCAUGCCGCGUGCAGGAUGAAGGCCUUCGGGUUGUAAACUGCUUUUGUACGGAACGAAAAGCCUCUUUCUAAUAAAGAGGGGUCAUGACGGUACCGUAAGAAUAAGCACCGGCUAACUACGUG
This 482-nucleotide ribosomal RNA is filed under the name uncultured bacterium. RNAcentral describes it as "partial 16S ribosomal RNA". It matches the Rfam family "Bacterial small subunit ribosomal RNA", at positions 30 to 507 of the family's 1533-position model. The record is from RNAcentral.